CGAAAGCCUGACGGAGCAAUACCGCGUGAGGGGGGAAGGCCUUUGGGUUGUAAACCUCUUUUCUCAGGGAAGAAGAUCUGACGGUACCUGAGGAAUAAGCAUCGGCUAACUCCGUGCCAGCAGCCGCGGUAAUACGGAGGAUGCAAGCGUUAUCCGGAAUUAUUGGGCGUAAAGCGUCCGCAGGUGGUCUUUCAAGUCUGCUGUCAAAGACCAGGGCUUAACUCUGGGCAGGCGGUGGAAACUGGGAGACUAGAGUUCGGUAGGGGUAGCGGGAAUUCCCAGUGUAGCGGUGAAAUGCGUAGAUAUUGGGAAGAACAUCGGUGGCGAAGGCGUGCUACUGGACCGAAACUGACACUCAGGGACGAAAGCUAGGGUAGCGAAAGGGAUUAGAUACCCCUGUAGUCCUAGCUGUAAACGAUG
Molecule: ribosomal RNA, 420 nt
Filed under: uncultured marine microorganism
Description: bacterial SSU rRNA
Rfam family: Bacterial small subunit ribosomal RNA
Source: RNAcentral